Molecule: unclassified non-coding RNA, 201 nt
Filed under: Hevea brasiliensis (rubber tree)
Lineage: Eukaryota; Viridiplantae; Streptophyta; Magnoliopsida; Malpighiales; Euphorbiaceae
Source: RNAcentral
GGAUGAGGAAAGGUCUCCUCUUGUUGAUACACUGGGAUUGGGGAAUGGGAGGGAGCAGGUAAGAAGGGAUGCUUCUGAAAAUCCCAUGGUUGCCAUUAGAGGUAUAAAACUUGGUCUUGGAGAUUUUAUUUUCUACAGUGUUCUUGUGGGCAGGGCUGCAAUGUAUGAUCUUAUGACAGUAUAUGCAUGCUACCUUGCAAU